UGUCACUCUAAUUAGAAAACUGACUUCCACCUGAAGGUCAGAGCCAAGGCGAUGGAGUCCCAGGCUCAGCUCCUCGGCCUCCUCCUCCUCCUCUGGGUCUGUGAUACCAGGGCAGAAACAACACUCACACAGUCUCCAGGAUUGGUGUCAGCAGUGCUAGGGGACAAAGUCGACAUCACCUGUAAAGCCAGUCAAGACAUUGAUGAUGAUCUGCACUGGUAUCAGCAGAAACCAGGAGAAGCUCCUACACUCAUUAUUAAAGGUGUUUCUACUCUCAUCUCCGGGGUCCCCUCCCGGCUCAGCGGCAGUGGGUACGGAACGGAUUUUACCCUGACCAUCAAUAAUGUGGAACAGGAGGAUGCUGCUUAUUAUUUCUGUCAACAGGAUGAUAAUACACCUCUCACAGUGCUUCACUCUGUUACAAAAACCUCCAGAUGCCCUCAGUGGGAUCCUCUCGGCAGCUACUGAAAAUGUCCAAUACGU
Non-coding RNA from Tupaia belangeri chinensis (Chinese tree shrew), 483 nucleotides. Lineage: Eukaryota; Metazoa; Chordata; Mammalia; Scandentia; Tupaiidae. The record is from the annotation of a RefSeq genome assembly.